Molecule: ribosomal RNA, 392 nt
Filed under: uncultured bacterium
Lineage: Bacteria
Description: partial 16S ribosomal RNA
Rfam family: Bacterial small subunit ribosomal RNA
Source: RNAcentral
AUACGUAGGAUCCGAGCGUUAUCCGGAUUUAUUGGGUUUAAAGGGUGCGCAGGCGGCCAUUUAAGUCAGCGGUUAAAUCGUGGGGCUCAACCCCAUUCUGCCGUUGAUACUGGGUGGCUUGAUUGCGGUCGAGGUUGGCGGAAUUCGUUGUGUAGCGGUGAAAUGCAUAGAUAUGACGAAGAACACCGAUUGCGUAGGCAGCUGACCAGACCGCAAAUGACGCUCAUGCACGAAAGUGCGGGGAUCGAACAGGAUUAGAUACCCUGGUAGUCCGCACAGUAAACGAUGAAUACUUGGUUUCGGCGAUAUAAUGUCGGAGGCAAAGCGAAAGCGAUAAGUAUUCCACCUGGGGAGUACGCCGGCAACGGUGAAACUCAAAUGAAUUGACGGGG